Molecule: long non-coding RNA, 3057 nt
Filed under: Sus scrofa (pig)
Lineage: Eukaryota; Metazoa; Chordata; Mammalia; Artiodactyla; Suidae
Description: lncRNA (ENSSSCG00000057783.1, ENSSSCG00105005633.1)
Source: RNAcentral
ACUGUCUUGUGUUCAGAGAAUCUGCAGCUCUGUGUGGUCUUUGAUCAGGAGUGCAGUGUGUCCUGCUCCCCUGGUCCCUCCCAGCCCCACCUCUGUGUCUACGAGUGGCUGGUGGUGCUGUGUCCUGUGGGUGCAGUGAGUCCCUGUCUUGUCCUUUACUCUCUUAUGGUUGGAUUUCGAGGCUUUUCAGCUUAAACAAGCAGAAGUGAUUUGUUUGAUUUUUUGUUUUGUCUUUAAUUCUUUUCUUCUAUACUAAUCCUUGAGAGGUGUGCAAAAUGGAAAGACAUGAGGGAGCCCUAAGCAAGUAAUGCAGUAAAAUCUUACUUGCAGAUGAGGUGACUGAGAUCUCUUCAUAGAAGGAGAUUUGCCCAGAUAAAAGGAUAUUUAAGCGAAACCCAGAGCCCAGACUUUGUUUUUCCAUUAUAGCCAGCUGCCAUGGGAUCUAAAGUCUCAGACCAGACUAAUCCUAGGACAUGUAUUAAUUAAUUAAUUAAACAUUUUUGGACAUGUAUUUUAUUUAUUUAUUUAUUUAUUUGGACAUGUUUUAAUUUUAAAAUAAAGCCUCCCUUUAUUUUACUGCACUUAGUAUACGUGGAGGACUCAUCACCCUGAAAACGGGCAUAAGCUGAAGGUUUAAAGAAAUCCACCUUUUUGAUUCAGGAAUAAUUUUGGAGGUUGUUUUUUUAUCUUGGGAGUAUAUUUGUACUGAUAACCUUUGAAGCUGAAUUCAUUGAAAAGCAGUUGUCAUCUUUUCCCACCAAACAUCACUUGAUGUUCUGCCCCGACCUCUUUUGACUGAGACCAUUUGGUGAGUGUACUCCGAUUGUCCUGGUAUUUCAAUGAAGUGGCCAAAAAACAGAAGUUGGACCAGAUUUUUAAAAUGAUGCCCAUGGCCUGCCUCUAGGAAAUGUAUGAUGGUCUAAUUGGAAGAGUAAACAUAUAAUUUACCCUCUGCUUCCAGAGUAGCCCUUGUAGAGAAACUUAAUGUCUGACUGAGAGUAGAAUUGUUCAGAAUAUGUAGGUGAUGGUGAUUUGAUUGCUCCAAGCUCCCUGCUCCUUAGCGAGAAAGUUCAGGUUUCCCACUGUAGUUUUGUAUUUAAAACUCUUUACUUGAGGAAAGAGAGAUCAAGCACUUAGGAUCUGCUUGCUUGAGAAAUCUAGACUGGGAAUUUUGUUUUGUUUUCUUUUUGUUUUACUUUUUAGGGCCACACCCGUGGCUUAUGGAGGUUCCCAGGCUAGGGAUUGAAUUGGAGCUGCCACUACUGGCUUACACCACAGCCACAGCCACAGCCACACGAGAUCCAAGCUGCGUCUGCAACCUACGCCACAGCUCACGGCAAGGCCGGAUCCUUAACCCACUGAACAAGGCCGGGGAUUGAACCCAUAUCCUCAUGGAUACCAGUCGGGUUCCUUACUGUUGAGCCACAACAGGAACUCCCUAGUUUGGGAAUCUUUAACCUCCAUGGAAGUGUCCAGUUUCUGUCCCUGAAGUUCAGAAUUGGUUCAUAAGAUCUGGUGGGAGGGGAGUGGCAGCCAUGCUUAAUUUGGUGUUGGGCCAGCAGGGAACUGAGGUUGGGCAGGAGUGAGCCUCUUUGCCUGUUGAAUUAGGAGGAGCCCAUGUGAACGAAUGGUUUGGGGAACUUAGAGGACUGGGCUUUGGGGAAUUGAGCCUGGAGGGAAAGUGGGAGAUCUUAGCCGUGAUGAGCCUGCAGAUGGUAACAGGUACUCAACUAGAGGGACUUGGAGGCAUUUAACCUGCAGAAGCUGCCAUUUUCAGGAAGGGAGGUGGAACUAGGUAAUCAGGAUACACAGACUCUUGUGUGGAAUUAUUUUCCAAGUCACCUCUUUGGUUUUAUUUUCCUCUAUUGCUUUGAUGGUAAUCAAGUAUUUCGUCCUCACCUCUAAUAAGAAUUGGUUCUGAAGUGACAUGCCUGGUAUGUUGGUUAAGGAAGUGGUGGCAUACCUCUCCCAAAUUCCCAUUGUCUCCUCUGUCAGAUCCCAGGGGGUGUGGUCCUGAACUUCAGCCAGUUGGCUCGGGAUGCCAGGGCUCAAGUGCCAUCUAGUGGCUCAAUGGAGGAGUUGCUUUUAACUGAGGGACCAACAACUGGGUUAAGACUUGUGACCUUCAAAUCUAAGAAACAGAACAUGUUCACUCUAAGGUGUCAUCACUAUUACUUACUCCUUUGUCCAUCUUUAUUUUGAACUAGAUGAAUUCCAAAAUAAUUCUAGGUCCUAAAAUCCCUAGCAGAUAAUGAGGGAAUAAUAGCAAUGAUUUUGCUUGAUUAAAAAAAAAACACAGCAAAUAUGUACAAGGAAAAACCUAAACAAAACCAGUGCUCUCUGUGGAAGUGGGUUUAUUGACCUGAGACUUAAGUCUCCGUCAAUAGACUGAGAUGUUAAUGCCUCAGCCUCCAGCCCUAGUGGUAGCUCCCGGAGUGUGGAGGAGGCAUUGAAGGCAUCUCUCUAAUUAUACCUGCAGCAUGGCUAUAAAGCACCACAAAGAUUGUGGAGAUAAUUCCUAAGAUCAGGGUACACGUGUGGCCUUUUCCCAAGUGGUCCCCUAGGAAGCCAUGCACUUAUGCCAACAUUGCUGCCACUGCUUCAUCGAAGGAAGGUUUUUGGAACUGCUAAUUGGGAUUGCUUUGAAAGCCCCGGUGGUGCUUGGGAAAGACUGACCUGGAGGCAGUUCCUGCAGUAGGGCUGGAAAGGAGAGAGGCAAAAAAGGAAGACUGGUGGGAAGUGUUGCAGGAAUCUUAGAGCAGAUGAUGAGGUGUGCGCAAUGGAGGCAGAAGAUGGUAGAUUCAGGAAUCUUUCUGGGGAUUUCCUGUUGUGGCUCAGUGGUAAUGAACCUGACUAGUAUCCAUGAGGAUGUUGGUUUGAUAAUUGGCCUCACUCAUUGGGUUAAGGAUCUGGGAUUGCUGUGAGCUGUGGUGUAUGUAGGUCGCAGAUGUGGCUUGGAUCUGAUGUUGCUGUUGCUGUGGUUUGGUUGGCACCUGCAGCUCCAAUUCGACCCCUGGCCUGGGAACCUCCAUAUGCCAUGUGUGUGGCCUUAAAAAG